RNAcentral lists this ribosomal RNA (483 nucleotides) under uncultured bacterium. RNAcentral describes it as "bacterial SSU rRNA". It matches the Rfam family "Bacterial small subunit ribosomal RNA", at positions 30 to 507 of the family's 1533-position model. The record is from RNAcentral.
AUUGAACGCUGGCGGAAUGCUUUACACAUGCAAGUCGAACGGCAGCACGGGGCAACCUGGUGGCGAGUGGGCGAACGGGUGAGUAAUAUAUCGGAACGUGCCCAAUCGUGGGGGAUAACGUAGCGAAAGUUACGCUAAUACCGCAUACGAUCUACGGAUGAAAGCGGGGGAUCGCAAGACCUCGCGCGAAUGGAGCGGCCGAUAUCAGAUUAGGUAGUUGGUGGGGUAAAGGCUCACCAAGCCAACGAUCUGUAGCUGGUCUGAGAGGACGACCAGCCACACUGGAACUGAGACACGGUCCAGACUCCUACGGGAGGCAGCAGUGGGGAAUUUUGGACAAUGGGCGCAAGCCUGAUCCAGCCAUUCCGCGUGCAGGAUGAAGGCCUUCGGGUUGUAAACUGCUUUUGUACGGAACGAAACGGUCUGCCCUAAUACGGCAGGCUAAUGACGGUACCGUAAGAAUAAGCACCGGCUAACUACGUG